RNAcentral lists this long non-coding RNA (459 nucleotides) under Equus caballus (horse). Its description in RNAcentral is "lncRNA (ENSECAG00000059886.1)". Lineage: Eukaryota; Metazoa; Chordata; Mammalia; Perissodactyla; Equidae. The record is from RNAcentral.
GCUCCCUGCCUCACUCUAACAUGAGCUCCCAAGGGGAGGGCCUCUGAGUUCUCUCACCGCUGCAUCCCUUCUGCCUAGGGCAGCACCUGGCAGACAGAGGGCUGGGGAAUGGAUGUCGAGAGAAUCUUUCAACAAGGCGUUUCCACCUUGUUGAUUUCCACAGGUACAACCCCUCUCCUAAGGAAUUCUGCACCGAGGAGCAGAGACACUCAGAUUUUAUGCACAGACUCCACAAAGGUAUUUCCAUUCAGAUUCAGAUACAAGCCAAUACAUAUUCUUUAUUUUCUUGGAUAUUUGUAAGUCUGACUCCAAUCCUCCAUCUCACUCAGCUGGCAACAAAGCCCCCUCCAUUGGUACUGGGCUCGCCCACCACCCCGGGAUCACAGCAGAGCCUAGAGGCUCACGCUGUGGCCCAGGAAACGUGAAAGACCUCUGACCUUCAGCCCAGCACAGCCAGAC